This 253-nucleotide ribosomal RNA is filed under the name uncultured bacterium. Its description in RNAcentral is "partial 16S ribosomal RNA". It matches the Rfam family "Bacterial small subunit ribosomal RNA", at positions 524 to 776 of the family's 1533-position model. The record is from RNAcentral.
UACGGAGGAUCCAAGCGUUAUCCGGAAUCAUUGGGUUUAAAGGGUCCGUAGGCGGUUUGGUAAGUCAGUGGUGGAAGCCCAUCGCUCAACGGUGGAACGGCCAUUGAUACUGCUAGACUUGAAUUAUUAGGAAGUAACUAGAAUAUGUAGUGUAGCGGUGAAAUGCUUAGAGAUUACUUAGAACACCAAUUGCGAAGGCAGGUUACCAUGAUUUAACUGACGCUGAGGGACGAAAGCGUGGGUAGCGAACAGG